CCGGCCUGAGAGGGUGUCCGGCCACACUGGGACUGAGAUACGGCCCAGACUCCUACGGGAGGCAGCAGUGGGGAAUAUUGCACAAUGGGCGCAAGCCUGAUGCAGCGACGCCGCGUGGGGGAUGACGGCCUUCGGGUUGUAAACCUCUUUCAUUAGGGACGAAGC
RNAcentral lists this ribosomal RNA (165 nucleotides) under uncultured Actinomycetes bacterium. RNAcentral's name for it is "uncultured actinobacterium partial 16S ribosomal RNA". It matches the Rfam family "Bacterial small subunit ribosomal RNA", at positions 287 to 451 of the family's 1533-position model. The record is from RNAcentral. Lineage: Bacteria; Bacillati; Actinomycetota; Actinomycetes.